GCUCUCGUCGUUCAAUGGAUAGGACGCAAGAUUGCGGAUCUUGCGAUGCAGGUUCGAUUCCUGCCGAGAGCACCA
RNAcentral lists this transfer RNA (75 nucleotides) under Candidatus Magasanikbacteria bacterium CG10_big_fil_rev_8_21_14_0_10_40_10. Its description in RNAcentral is "tRNA-Arg". It matches the Rfam family "tRNA". From Rfam's summary of the family: Transfer RNA (tRNA) molecules are approximately 80 nucleotides in length. Lineage: Bacteria; Candidatus Magasanikiibacteriota. The record is from RNAcentral.